Molecule: transfer RNA, 67 nt
Filed under: Strophopteryx fasciata
Lineage: Eukaryota; Metazoa; Arthropoda; Insecta; Plecoptera; Taeniopterygidae
Description: tRNA-Phe
Source: RNAcentral
AUUCAAAUAGCUUAUAUUUAGAGCGUGACACUGAAGAUGUUAAUGAGAUUAUUACAAUCUUUGAAUA